GGAGGUGGAGCUGUCGCCAGAAGUGAGAGGGGCCGCCACAGCCCGAGCUGUUCACAUAUUAACCAAGCUGACUGAGAGCAGCCCCUAUGGGCCCUACGCUGGACAGGUGUCGGCUGUUCGCAUUUUGAAAGCGCGAAAGGCUUACGAGCACGCGCUGCAGGACUGUUUGGGUGACAGCUGUGUCUCUGAUCCAGCUCCCACUGAUUCCUGUAGCCGCCUAAUUAGCCUGGCUAAAUGCUUCAUGCUCUUCCAGUAUUUGACCAUAGGGAUUGAUGCUGCUGUGCGGAUAUACGAACAGGUGUUUGCAAAACUGAACAGUUCUGUUUUCCCAGAAGGCUCUGGCGAGGGGGACAGUGCCAGCUCCCAGAGUUGGACCAGUGUUCUCGAAGCCAUCACACUGAUGCACACGAGCCUGCUGAGAUUCCACAUGAAAGUGAGUGUUUACCCGCUGGCCCCUCUGCGAGAGGCACUCUCACAGGCUUUAAAGUUGUAUCCAGGCAACCAGGUUCUUUGGAGGUCCUAUGUACAGAUUCAGAAUAAGUCCCACAGUGCCAGCAAGACCAGGAGAUUUUUUGACACAAUCACCAGGUCUGCCAAACCCUUGGAGCCUUGGUUGUUUGCAAUUGAAGCUGAGAAACUGAGGAAGAGACUGGUGGAAACCGUCCAGAGGUUAGACGGUAGAGAGAUCCACGCCACAAUUCCUGAGACCGGCUUAAUGCAUCGGAUCCAAGCCCUGUUUGAAAAUGCCAUGCGCAGCGACAGUGGCAGCCAGUGCCCCUUGCUGUGGAGGAUGUAUUUGAAUUUUCUGGUUUCCUUAGGAAAUAAAGAAAGAAGCAAAGGUGUAUUCUACAAAGCACUUCAGAAUUGUCCUUGGGCAAAGGUAAGUGUUAAAGGCCAUGGCGUCUUCAGCUUCCCGAAGACUUCCCGCCAGGUCUCCGUCCAGCUAGUGUCUUCCCAGCCUGCCCCGCGGCACUGGGGAUGCUCGGCUCAUGGACGCCAUACCCUGUCCCAAGGUACAUCCAGAGCCUUUUCCUGGUGAAACUGUUCCCUGUGGAGUCAGAGCCUGGCCCUGCCUGGGGCUGGUGCUUCAUGGAAGUGUUGCUGUGGGUAGCUGGUUUCCCAGCAUUUGGUCAGAGUCCAGCCCAGAUGCUGAAAGAGUUGGGAUCAUGUCCCAGCCCAGCUGUGAGAGCCCAGGUCAGGUGACACUCAGAAGUGAAACUGAGGGUGAUGGCCAGCAAUUCCUGGACCCCUUUCAAAAGAGAAGGCCUCGCUUAGCGUUUGCUCACUUUUGCGAGUUCAGUGUCCUUCCUGAACAUGCCCAGUGCUGCCCGAGUUAAGAAAGUCUGAGCCAAGGGGAGCAGGGGCUGUGGAGGGCGACAGGAGG
RNAcentral lists this small RNA (1384 nucleotides) under Pongo abelii (Sumatran orangutan). RNAcentral describes it as "retained intron". Lineage: Eukaryota; Metazoa; Chordata; Mammalia; Primates; Hominidae. The record is from RNAcentral.